RNAcentral lists this ribosomal RNA (292 nucleotides) under uncultured bacterium. RNAcentral describes it as "partial 16S ribosomal RNA". It matches the Rfam family "Bacterial small subunit ribosomal RNA", at positions 505 to 796 of the family's 1533-position model. The record is from RNAcentral.
GUGCCAGCAGCCGCGGUAAUACAGAGGUCCCGAGCGUUGUUCGGAUUCAUUGGGCGUAAAGGGUGCGUAGGCGGCGGGGCAAGUUUGAUGUGAAAUCCCGGGGCUCAACCCUGGAAUUGCAUUGAAUACUGCCUUGCUAGAGUACUGGAGAGGAAACUGGAAUUUACGGUGUAGCAGUGAAAUGCGUAGAGAUCGUAAGGAAGACCAGUGGCGAAGGCGAGUUUCUGGACAGUUACUGACGCUGAGGCACGAAGGCCAGGGGAGCAAACGGGAUUAGAAACCCCGGUAGUCC